This 717-nucleotide ribosomal RNA is filed under the name uncultured bacterium. Its description in RNAcentral is "bacterial SSU rRNA". It matches the Rfam family "Bacterial small subunit ribosomal RNA", at positions 129 to 848 of the family's 1533-position model. The record is from RNAcentral.
CCGACAACACUGGGAUAGCCUUUCGAAAGAAAGAUUAAUACCGGAUGGCAUAAUUAUUCCGCAUGGGAUAAUUAUUAAAGAAUUUCGGUUGUCGAUGGGGAUGCGUUCCAUUAGGCAGUUGGCGGGGUAACGGCCCACCAAACCUACGAUGGAUAGGGGUUCUGAGAGGAAGGUCCCCCACAUUGGAACUGAGACACGGUCCAAACUCCUACGGGAGGCAGCAGUGAGGAAUAUUGGUCAAUGGACGAGAGUCUGAACCAGCCAAGUAGCGUGAAGGAUGACUGCCCUAUGGGUCGUAAACUUCUUUUAUACGGGAAUAAAGUGAGCCACGUGUGGUUUUUUGUAUGUACCGUAUGAAUAAGGAUCGGCUAACUCCGUGCCAGCAGCCGCGGUAAUACGGAGGAUCCGAGCGUUAUCCGGAUUUAUUGGGUUUAAAGGGAGCGUAGGCGGGUUGUUAAGUCAGUUGUGAAAGUUUGCGGCUCAACCGUAAAAUUGCAGUUGAUACUGGCGACCUUGAGUGCAACAGAGGUAGGCGGAAUUCGUGGUGUAGCGGUGAAAUGCUUAGAUAUCACGAAGAACUCCGAUUGCGAAGGCAGCUUACUGGAUUGUAACUGACGCUGAUGCUCGAAAGUGUGGGUAUCAAACAGGAUUAGAUACCCUGGUAGUCCACACAGUAAACGAAGAAUACUCGCUGUUGGCGAUAUACGGUCAGCGGCC